This is a long non-coding RNA of Lepisosteus oculatus (spotted gar), 1447 nucleotides long. RefSeq lists it as uncharacterized. The record is from RefSeq and is a predicted model, not a curated record. NCBI's taxonomy places the organism in Eukaryota, Metazoa, Chordata, Actinopteri, Semionotiformes, Lepisosteidae.
AUGAUAUCAAACAGAACUCCAUUAAAUGCAAAAACACUCAUUAAAUGCAUUAAAACAUUUUUGUAUCACCACCAGUUUGGAGGAAAACAGUGUUCUCCAUUCCUAUAUCCGGCCUUUUCCCCGAGUGGCAAUGCUCUUGAUUGGAUAAGCUUCGAUUGAUUUGCUUUAAUUGUGUAUGGCACCUUCGCAAAAUCAUUAUCAACGUUAGCAUUGUGAUGUGUUAGAAGAUGAGCCCCCAACAAUAAUCCUACUGCAUAAUGUGUUGUCUAAAUUAGGUAUGAGUGUUUUAUUGAUUGAUCUACAGUCGAAUUUUCUAUUUGCGAUAUCGGUAUUUUCUUCUUUUUUUUUUGCGUUACUGGUAUUUACGUUUUCCCACCACGUACGCCAUUUUUUCCCCCCAGUUCCAAACAAAACAUUGCCUCCUCAGGUGUCCGCCGUCCUCCAUUACUGUUUCAUUGUGCUGUACACGGCUGUUUUUGUGUGCGUUGUGUCUGUGUUUUUAAUCGAAUAUUUUUUAAAAGCCUAACAUGGAGAGGAAGAAAGAAAGGAAGACCAUUUCCCUCGAGGAAAAAGUAUCCGUAUUUUGUGAGGUGGAUCCUCACGUGGGAACGAGGGUUGAAUUAGCGAAUGGGCUGAAUAUCGCGAUUUCUACAUUAAACACUAUUGUGAAGAAUCGGGCGAGUAUAAUGAAUAACGUGGCGAAGUGUGGACCGAUGGCUAAGAAGAGAGAGUAUGUGAAGUCAGCGAAGAGAAGCAAAAGUUGGAACCUACAUUUUUUCAGACAUUAAGUGCUGUGGAAACGCCCAAAGCUGGUAUUUCCGCUGCGCUGAGAGAAGAGAGCUUUGGGACUGGUGUGCAACGUUGCAGAGCCGAAGGCCUCCAUGAUACAUCACUGAGAGAAAGAGAGACGUGCACGAGGGACUGAGGUGCUAACACUGGAAGAGAAGAGCCGGGAGAGCAAAUCCCAUGAGGAAUGACUGGCAAGGCCGUGAACUGAUUGAAUCAGUACGGCUAGGCUUCGUAGGGCUCAUUUUCUAUGCAGACAGUCGAACCCUCUAUCCAGCCAUCCAUUUUCUAACCACUUCUUCCAAUUCAGGAUGGCAGGGGAGCCAUAGUCUACCUUGACAAGCAACAGGUACAAUGUCGGAUGCACCCUGGAUGGGGGACACACGUCCAGAAUUGAACCCAGGGCUCCAGCUCUGCGAGGCAGCAAUGCUAACCAGUGUGCGACCGUGCUGUCCCAGGCACGCCCUGUACAAGUCUAAAUAGGAUGUACUAUGAUUUUUAUCUCUAAAACAUUGCAUGUAUCUAAUCCAAAAGAUAAAUCAAGUAUAAAUGAUCUAUAAUUUGAUUAUAAAUUAAGCUAUGCUGUGGAAAUUGUCUCCCAAGUUAAUAUGCCAGGAACACUGUGCAAGUUUCCUUUUGGUGCUCUAACCAGAGUGAGUGC